This 440-nucleotide ribosomal RNA is filed under the name uncultured Lachnospiraceae bacterium. Its description in RNAcentral is "bacterial SSU rRNA". It matches the Rfam family "Bacterial small subunit ribosomal RNA", at positions 338 to 795 of the family's 1533-position model. The record is from RNAcentral. Lineage: Bacteria; Bacillati; Bacillota; Clostridia; Lachnospirales; Lachnospiraceae.
CCUACGGGGGGCAGCAGUGGGGAAUAUUGGACAAUGGGGGAAACCCUGAUCCAGCGACGCCGCGUGAGUGAAGAAGUAUUUCGGUAUGUAAAGCUCUAUCAGCAGGGAAGAAAAUGACGGUACCUGACUAAGAAGCCCCGGCUAACUACGUGCCAGCAGCCGCGGUAAUACGUAGGGGGCAAGCGUUAUCCGGAUUUACUGGGUGUAAAGGGAGCGCAGACGGCGAAGCAAGUCUGAAGUGAAAUGCAUGGGCUCAACCCAUGAAUUGCUUUGGAAACUGUUUGGCUUGAGUGUCGGAGGGGUAAGCGGAAUUCCUAGUGUAGCGGUGAAAUGCGUAGAUAUUAGGAGGAACACCGGAGGCGAAGGCGGCUUACUGGACGACAACUGACGUUGAGGCUCGAAGGCGUGGGGAGCAAACAGGAUUAGAUACCCGGGUAGUC